CGAGCUUCUGCAUGCCCUAUGGGCACACAAUCGGCACAUAUAACAACUUCCCACCAUCGUUAUUGUCGACACCAACAAUAUAAAAAAUAUCAAGUGCAGUGGCGCUCGCAUUCUCUGGCUCCCCAGCAGCACCACUGUAACAGCAUGGCUCGGAGAGACGUAGCUGGAUGGAGCUCCUCGUCACUUACUUCUGCAAGGGUGGCAUCAGUGGCUUUUGUGGUCUUCUGAUGUUUGAAAUUCAGCAAAGUGUUUGUGUGAAAUUGAUGUGCUGUAAACUCUUUGAGUUGAUGUGUCAAAUUCCGCAAAGAAAAGCUGAGAUUUUGUGUGUC
This is a long non-coding RNA of Lolium rigidum, 329 nucleotides long. RefSeq lists it as uncharacterized. The record is from RefSeq and is a predicted model, not a curated record. Lineage: Eukaryota; Viridiplantae; Streptophyta; Magnoliopsida; Poales; Poaceae. The transcript has 2 exons.